Lactuca sativa (garden lettuce) is the source of this 670-nucleotide long non-coding RNA. RefSeq lists it as uncharacterized. NCBI's taxonomy places the organism in Eukaryota, Viridiplantae, Streptophyta, Magnoliopsida, Asterales, Asteraceae. The record is from RefSeq and is a predicted model, not a curated record.
UGAGCCCCAUUCAACACUCGAUCGGUUCCUCUUAUCAUCUCCACCGGCGCACCAAACCUCUCACCGUCAGCAACUUCCUCCACCUAAAACCUUCAUCUUUGCCCUGUCAGUGCUCGCCGGAGAUCAAAGUAUAACCGGAGAUCUCUCUUCAUCUCGACCCGAUUUCAAACCUUUCUUUAUCUCCACCAAAUUUCAAGUUGGAAAGCGUUCAAUUCAUCCCCACCAGAUCACCUCACAGAAACCCCAUGAAACCUGCGAUUCAUUUCUUAUGGUGUGCAUAAUAAUUCUGAGAAGUAGAUUUCAAGUGGUGAUUUGGUUAAGCCCUACCAGAAGAACUUUGGUUGAGGAUCAAAUGUAAAGACUUUGAAGAUCAACAUUGAAGACUUGGGAAUCCGGAGUGAAGAAAGUUAAACCAAAGAAAAGCAUGCUUUGUCUUUUGUAUACCGAAGUGUCAGAGAAGUAAUGUUCACCUUUUCCGACAUUGUGUCUUAGAUGAGUGUUGUCAGUCCAAGCAUUGAAAUCAUGGCCGUCUAACUUAGGAGUAUUUUAUUGUUUAUCAUGUACUCGGUUUUGCUAUAUAUAUAGAUGUUCAUGUUGAUUGAUCUAUGUGUACCACUUCGCAAACUUUCAUUGUAUUACUAUUAUUGAAUACAAGUGUUUAUUAUAUUCA